AUUGAACGCUGGCGGCAUGCCUUACACAUGCAAGUCGAACGGCAGCACGGGUGCUUGCACCUGGUGGCGAGUGGCGAACGGGUGAGUAAUACAUCGGAACAUGUCCUGUAGUGGGGGAUAGCCCGGCGAAAGCCGGAUUAAUACCGCAUACGAUCUACGGAUGAAAGCGGGGGACCUUCGGGCCUCGCGCUAUAGGGUUGGCCGAUGGCUGAUUAGCUAGUUGGUGGGGUAAAGGCCUACCAAGGCGACGAUCAGUAGCUGGUCUGAGAGGACGACCAGCCACACUGGGACUGAGACACGGCCCAGACUCCUACGGGAGGCAGCAGUGGGGAAUUUUGGACAAUGGGCGAAAGCCUGAUCCAGCAAUGCCGCGUGUGUGAAGAAGGCCUUCGGGUUGUAAAGCACUUUUGGCCGGAAAGAAAUCCUUGGCUCUAAUACAGUCGGGGGAUGACGGUACCGGAAGAAUAAGCACCGGCUAACUACGUG
Molecule: ribosomal RNA, 486 nt
Filed under: uncultured bacterium
Lineage: Bacteria
Description: partial 16S ribosomal RNA
Rfam family: Bacterial small subunit ribosomal RNA
Source: RNAcentral